UCCUGGCUGGCUUAGUCAUUGGAGCUUAAAACUCUUGAUCUUGGGGUUGUGGGUUCAAGCCCCAUGUUGGGUU
Molecule: transfer RNA, 73 nt
Filed under: Ailuropoda melanoleuca (giant panda)
Lineage: Eukaryota; Metazoa; Chordata; Mammalia; Carnivora; Ursidae
Also listed under: 1 other name
Rfam family: tRNA
About the family: Transfer RNA (tRNA) molecules are approximately 80 nucleotides in length.
Source: Rfam by way of RNAcentral